This 359-nucleotide long non-coding RNA is filed under the name Salvia miltiorrhiza (redroot sage). RNAcentral describes it as "long non-coding RNA (SMIL_LNC009112)". Lineage: Eukaryota; Viridiplantae; Streptophyta; Magnoliopsida; Lamiales; Lamiaceae. The record is from RNAcentral.
GCCGCAAAAGGACGAGGGAACUUAUUCUCAAGUAAAUCUCGUGUAUAUAAAUUGGAAUUAGGAAUCCAAUUGAUAUGAGGAGAGACCCGAAUCUAUUCUAGAUCGGAAAGUUAAAGUACUAAGGAAUAAGUCGAUACCCUUAGUAAUAGUUCUUUGGAAGCACUAUGAUCAAGAAAAGGCGAUGUGAGAACUCGAUUCUAGCAUGAAUGAGAAGUACCCAGAAUUAUUUUCUGUGGUACAAAUUUCGUGACGAAACUUCUUUUAAAGUGGAUAGUAUGUCAUACCCCGACUUUUAAUCCCUGAUUAAGGGCUUAAUUAUUAAUAAUUAGGAUUCGGCAUCCAUUUAUAAUAAAAAUUGG